UCCCUUUAAGGUGGGUUCACUAUCUUCGCAGCGGUGGGUGAAAGCCAGUUCAGCUCCUGAACCCUACAGUUGUUCAACAGGCUUUUGGUGCCUGACCGGUUUCAGAAGACAGAAUCUGGAAGACUAGGACAUUUUCUUUCGUUUGCAGGAGAAUGUCUGGACCUAGCUUCUGGGAACCUGCCGGCAGUUAAUUCUGACAGGGGACCUAAGCUGAGUAUUUGCCUCCAUUAGAUUUGCCUGUGGACAGAACUGUGAGGCAUCUUUUGGAAUAGUGAUUGAUGUGUGGAGGCCCACUGUGGUUGGCUCCACCUCUGGGUGGGCCGUCCUGGUUACAGAAGGAAGCACAUUGAGCAAGCAAUGAGCAACAAGCCAGUAAGCAGUUGUUCCUCCAUGGCCUCUACUUCAGUUGCUGCCUUCAAGUCUAUGCCUUGAGUUCCUGUCCUGACUUCCUUCCUGAUGUGCACUGAUCAAGCUGAAGUCAACUCUUUCCUCCCUGAGAUAGUUCACUCAGUAUUUCAUCAGAGUAAAGAGAAGUAACUGAGACAGUU
Rattus norvegicus (Norway rat) is the source of this 548-nucleotide non-coding RNA. Lineage: Eukaryota; Metazoa; Chordata; Mammalia; Rodentia; Muridae. The record is from RefSeq and is a predicted model, not a curated record.